RNAcentral lists this ribosomal RNA (468 nucleotides) under uncultured bacterium. RNAcentral's name for it is "partial 16S ribosomal RNA". It matches the Rfam family "Bacterial small subunit ribosomal RNA", at positions 28 to 507 of the family's 1533-position model. The record is from RNAcentral.
GACGAACGCUGGCGGCGUGCUUAACACAUGCAAGUCGAACGGAAAGGCCCUGCUUUUGUGGGGUGCUCGAGUGGCGAACGGGUGAGUAACACGUGAGUAACCUGCCCUUGACUUUGGGAUAACUUCAGGAAACUGGGGCUAAUACCGGAUAGGAGCUCCUGCUGCAUGGUGGGGGUUGGAAAGUUUCGGCGGUUGGGGAUGGACUCGCGGCUUAUCAGUUUGUUGGUGGGGUAGUGGCUUACCAAGGCUUUGACGGGUAGCCGGCCUGGGAGGGUGAUCGGCCACAAUGGGACUGAGAUACGGCCCAGACUCCAACGGGAGGCAGCAGUGGGGAAUAUGGCACAAUGGGCGGAAGCCUGAUGCAGCAACGCCGCGUGCGGGAUGACGGCCUUCGGGUUGUAAACCGCUUUCGCCUGUGACGAAGCGUGAGUGACGGUAAUGGGUAAAGAAGCACCGGCUAACUACGUG